This 444-nucleotide ribosomal RNA is filed under the name uncultured bacterium. RNAcentral's name for it is "bacterial SSU rRNA". It matches the Rfam family "Bacterial small subunit ribosomal RNA", at positions 338 to 795 of the family's 1533-position model. The record is from RNAcentral.
CCUACGGGCGGCUGCAGUCGAGAAUAUUCCACAAUGGACGAAAGUCUGAUGGAGCGACGCCGCGUGCGGGAUGAAGGCCCUCGGGUUGUAAACCGCUUUUUUCAGGGAGCAAUUUCGAUGAGAGUACCUGAAGAAUAAGAGGUUACUAACUCUGUGCCAGCAGUAGCGGUAAUACAGAGACCUCAAGCGUUAUCCGGAUUUAUUGGGCGUAAAGCGCAGGUAGGCGGGUUUAUUAGUCGGAUGUCAAAGACCGGGGCUCAACUCCGGGAAGGCAUUCGAAACGGUAUACCUAGAGAAUGUGAGAGAUGAGUGGAAUUCAUGGUGUAGUAGUGAAAUGCGUUGAUAUCAUGAGGAACACCGAAGGCGAAGGCAACUCAUUGGCACAUUUCUGACGCUGAGCUGCGAAAGCGUGGGGAGCGAAUGGGAUUAGAUACCCCGGUAGUC